UAAUGAGCUAGGCGAGGCAAUAGAGAAGCCUUGAGGAUUAUUCCGACCGCAACUCUAGAUGGCGGGCUAACAGCCCAAUUGAGGAUGCUGAGGCUAAUCAUACAACCUUUGAUACGACGAUGAAGACUCGCCUAUAUUGCUCCACGGUGAAAGGGUUUCUUCCGUAAGGAAGAAUACUUCUUUCUUCAAUGGGCGAACCUGGUCAGGACAGGGAUGUAGCAGCCUAAGCCCUAACGAGGGAGGCUUUAUAGAUACGGGUCUGAGAUCGGUCUUAGGAGCUGGUGAUUAGACGAACUUCCAAGGUUGGGUGCUCUUUA
Molecule: signal recognition particle RNA, 317 nt
Filed under: Promethearchaeota archaeon
Lineage: Archaea; Promethearchaeati; Promethearchaeota
Description: Candidatus Lokiarchaeota archaeon (microbial mat metagenome) signal recognition particle sRNA
Rfam family: Archaeal signal recognition particle RNA
Source: RNAcentral